RNAcentral lists this ribosomal RNA (447 nucleotides) under uncultured bacterium. RNAcentral's name for it is "bacterial SSU rRNA". It matches the Rfam family "Bacterial small subunit ribosomal RNA", at positions 355 to 825 of the family's 1533-position model. The record is from RNAcentral.
UGGGGAAUUUUGGACAAUGGGCGAAAGCCUGACCCAGCAACGCCGCGUGAAGGAUGAAGUAUUUCGGUAUGUAAACUUCGUAAGAAUAGGAAGAAUAAAUGACGGUACUAUUUAUAAGGUCCGGCUAACUACGUGCCAGCAGCCGCGGUAAUACGUAGGGACCAAGCGUUGUUCGGAUUUACUGGGCGUAAAGGGCGCGUAGGCGGCAAUUCAAGUCAUCUGUGAAAUCUCCGGGCUUAACUCGGAACGGUCAGAUGAUACUGCUUUGCUAGAGUGCAGAAGGGGCAAUCGGAAUUCUUGGUGUAGCGGUGAAAUGCGUAGAUAUCAAGAGGAACACCUGAGGUGAAGACGGGUUGCUGGGCUGACACUGACGCUGAGGCGCGAAAGCCAGGGGAGCAAACGGGAUUAGAUACCCUUGUAGUCCCUGAGCGGGCUGGCAAGGCGCAU